Molecule: long non-coding RNA, 602 nt
Filed under: Callithrix jacchus (white-tufted-ear marmoset)
Lineage: Eukaryota; Metazoa; Chordata; Mammalia; Primates; Cebidae
Description: lncRNA (ENSCJAG00000082241.1)
Source: RNAcentral
ACCAAGGGCAGUUUGGAGGUCAGAAACAAGAUGUAGUCAACGAUGUCAGAUUUCUCUUACUGUCAUAAUUUUGCAGGUGCAGUUCUACCUUUCCAAUACCACAGUUUUUUGCAGGAGUAGAUGGAGUCUUUUUCAUGGUCUACUCCCUGGUGUUAACAACCUUGCUUUUUCCAAUGACUUGAGAGUUCUCCUGCCCAACAAACAGAAGAUAAUUUGCUCUCUGAGGUCUGUUGAAAGAUAAACUUUGGCACAUUAAAAUUUUAGAGUUUAUUUGAACGACAACAAUUCUUGAAUGAGGCAACUCUGAACUGGAAGUGUUUUUUUUUUUUCCAGGACUCCUCUAACAGAGCAUGAGAAGGAAGCUUUUAUAGCAUGAUUGAAGAAGCAAGGCAAAGAAAAUAUUUGAUUGGUUACAGUGGAGGAGUAGCCUUAUUUGGAUCAUUCCAGUGGAAAGUCCAUUGUCAGAGGCUCUCUGUUGCUGAGGAGGAGGCCUGAAACUGCACAUGCUUCAUAAACAGAUGAGAAGUCAAACGGCUUCAGAGGGGACCCAGCCUACAGGCAAAGAGCCCUGCUUUGAACUUCAUCAAAAUGCUUUGUUUAGC